RNAcentral lists this ribosomal RNA (497 nucleotides) under uncultured bacterium. RNAcentral describes it as "partial 16S ribosomal RNA". It matches the Rfam family "Bacterial small subunit ribosomal RNA", at positions 28 to 507 of the family's 1533-position model. The record is from RNAcentral.
GAUGAACGCUGGCGGCGUGCCUAAUACAUGCAAGUCGAGCGAACAGACGAGGAGCUUGCUCCUCUGACGUUAGCGGCGGACGGGUGAGUAACACGUGGAUAACCUACCUAUAAGACUGGGAUAACUUCGGGAAACCGGAGCUAAUACCGGAUAAUAUAUUGAACCGCAUGGUUCAAUAGUGAAAGACGGUUUUGCUGUCACUUAUAGAUGGAUCCGCGCCGCAUUAGCUAGUUGGUAAGGUAACGGCUUACCAAGGCAACGAUGCGUAGCCGACCUGAGAGGGUGAUCGGCCACACUGGAACUGAGACACGGUCCAGACUCCUACGGGAGGCAGCAGUAGGGAAUCUACCGCAAUGGGCGAAGGCUUGACGGAGCAACGCCGCGUGAGUGAUGAAGGUCUUCGGAUCGUAAAACUCUGUUAUUAGGGAAGAACAAAUGUGUAAGUAACUUUGCACGUCUUGACGGUACCUAAUCAGAAAGCCACGGCUAACUACGUG